GGCUAAUCCUGGUCGGACAUCAGGAGGUUAGUGCAAUGGCAUAAGCCAGCUUGACUGCGAGCGUGACGGCGCGAGCAGGUGCGAAAGCAGGUCAUAGUGAUCCGGUGGUUCUGAAUGGAAGGGCCAUCGCUCAACGGAUAAAAGGUACUCCGGGGAUAACAGGCUGAUACCGCCCAAGAGUUCAUAUCGACGGCGGUGUUUGGCACCUCGAUGUCGGCUCAUCACAUCCUGGGGCUGAAGUAGGUCCCAAGGGUAUGGCUGUUCGCCAUUUAAAGUGGUACGCGAGCUGGGUUUAGAACGUCGUGAGACAGUUCGGUCCCUAUCUGCCGUGGGCGCUGGAGAACUGAGGGGGGCUGCUCCUAGUACGAGAGGACCGGAGUGGACGCAUCACUGGUGUUCGGGUUGUCAUGCCAAUGGCACUGCCCGGUAGCUAAAUGCGGAAGAGAUAAGUGCUGAAAGCAUCUAAGCACGAAACUUGCCCCGAG
This 485-nucleotide ribosomal RNA is filed under the name Salmonella enterica subsp. enterica. RNAcentral describes it as "partial 23S ribosomal RNA". It matches the Rfam family "Bacterial large subunit ribosomal RNA", at positions 2319 to 2803 of the family's 2925-position model. The record is from RNAcentral. RNAcentral also lists the same sequence under 1 other name. Lineage: Bacteria; Pseudomonadati; Pseudomonadota; Gammaproteobacteria; Enterobacterales; Enterobacteriaceae.